Molecule: ribosomal RNA, 437 nt
Filed under: uncultured Clostridium sp.
Lineage: Bacteria; Bacillati; Bacillota; Clostridia; Eubacteriales; Clostridiaceae
Description: partial 16S ribosomal RNA
Rfam family: Bacterial small subunit ribosomal RNA
Source: RNAcentral
ACGGGAGGCAGCAGUGGGGAAUAUUGGGCAAUGGGGGAAACCCUGACCUAGCAACGCCGCGUGAAGGAAGAAGGCUUUCGGGUUGUAAACUUCUUUUAAGAGGGACGAACACAAUGACGGUACCUCUUGAAUAAGCCACGGCUAACUACGUGCCAGCAGCCGCGGUAAUACGUAGGUGGCAAGCGUUAUCCGGAUUUACUGGGUGUAAAGGGCGCGUAGGCGGAGCGGCAAGUCAGAUGUGAAAUCUCUGGGCUUAACCCGGAAACUGCAUUUGAAACUGUCGCCCUUGAGUGUCGGAGAGGUAGAUGGAAUUCCUAGUGUAGCGGUGAAAUGCGUAGAUAUUAGGAGGAACACCAGUGGCGAAGGCGAUCUACUGGACGAUAACUGACGCUGAGGCGCGAAAGCGUGGGGAGCAAACAGGAUUAGAUACCCUAGUA